UAGAUUCCAAUGGGGCUUUUCUUUACAUGAUGUUUAUUUAUAAGACCAAUCUAUAAAAAAGAAUAAUUACAGCCAGGAGCUGAUUAUUUGAAGAGAUCUUUAAAUCUUUAAGCUCUUAGUAUAAAAUAGUUAAUCACUUUAGAUUGGAUGCUCUUCACUCUAGAAAAUAAUUCCUUUGGAUACAUCAAGGAAAAAUGUAUUUUCUUGUGAUUUGGUAACAUAUAGUCACAUCUUGGAGUUUGUUUUAUAAAACCUUAAAGAUGUUAUUUAAGGAGGAUUUCUCUUCUAGGUUAAGAAGCUCAUGAAGAUUCCAUGAGACUCCUACCUUUGCCGUGGGCUCCAGGAGCCUGCCUGACUUGAGACUAUUACAAUGCCCUUUUCCAACCUGUGUAAUCUCUCUUUCAGAGUCCUGGGUCAGUUGCUCUAACAUUCUCUUGUCCAGGGGCACCUCCCAGGGAGCCCACCCAGAUGGCCCCCAGCUGCUCUUCAACCUCCUCCGGGCCUUCAUUUUCUCUACUUAUCCAGCAAGUUCCCUGUGUAGUAGGUGGGGACUCAGGAACCCUGCCUUCUCCCUCCGUACGUUCUGUCAUAUAAGCUGCCCCCUCCCAGAUCUGCCUAUGUCCUCCUCCACAACCCCUUGCAGCUGACUUAGCUCUGGUCAUGGGAUGGAUGGGAUGCCCUGUCAUAGCAUUGACCACGCCUCUUCCUUCCUUCCUUUUAUUCACCUGUCUAUCCAUCCAUCCAUCCAUCCAUCCAUCCAUCAAUUCAUCCAUCCAACUCUAAAGGCUGUCAAAGAUGGAGAGGCCCUGCUCUCUGCCUUUGCUGCAAGGUGAUGGGGAAAAGCGUUGUAUAAUUGAUCAAUAUUUAAAAGACUUUAACAAGCAUUUCAUAGCCUCUGUAUUUGCCCUUCCCUGAUUUAACAAGAGUGGAUGGUGGUGGAUGUGGUGCUUGCUAAUCCAUGGCUCAUUAGAAGGUGGUAGCAAAAGGAGAAUGGAGCCUUCAUGGAACUAAGGCCAGUCACCUAGACAGAGUGGCCAGAAAUGAGGCUGGGCUGUUGUAAGAUGCUUCAGGAUAUUUUAAGGCAUUCAGUCCUUAUCCUAACAACAGUGGGAAGGUAUAAAGAUUUUAAAGCAGAGGACUGGUAUAACUGAAACCAUGCUUUGAGAAAGUCUCUUGUGAACUGAUUUAAGUCAUUUUUGUUGAUCAACAGUUCCCAAGUUAUCUUGGUAUAGAUGGGCAGUUGCCAUCCAUGAGAGGCUGAGGCUGUGUCUCCACCCUCUCAGACCAAAUUCUGGCAUGGACAUAAAUGCUAGCAAACUGGUCCAAAGUACUUGUAUCAUCUACUCCUUGAACUUACGUGAGUCCUAUUGUUCAACCCUAGGCACCCUGAUAAAUGCUUAGUUACUCUAAGGUGAAUGUUCCUAAAGUAAGAUUAGCCAAAGUCUUACCUAUUCAGAUCAGCAGACAGAGUUGGGCACACAGAACCAAAGACAACGCUAGACUUGGAUCAUCAGGCUACUGGGUUUGCUGGUGUCUUAGUUGAUUUGUGCUGUGAGGAGUAGCAUGAACUGGGCAGUUUAUAAAGAACAGAAAUUUAUUUCUCACAGUUCUGGAGGCUGGAAAGUUCAAGAUUAAGGUGCCAGUGAGGACUGCCCUCUACGCCCAAGGUGGAGCCUUUGAUGCUGCAUCCUUCAGAAGGGAGGAAUGGUGUGUCCUCACAUGACAGAAGGUGGAAGGGCAGAAAGGAAAUGAGCUCCCUCUGUGAAGUCUCUGUAGGGAACCUAAUCUCAUUUAUGAGAGGAGUAGCCCUCAUGACCUAAGUGCCUCUUAAAUGCCUCACAUCUCAAUAGCACCACAUUGUCAACAUCUGAAUUUUGGAAUGGAGUGGGGGCAUGUUCAGACGACAGUAGCUGGAUUCUCAGAUUAUCUGUAUGAGGUCAUGUUUGUUUAUUCUCUCCAGUCCUCAAACACAGCAGUUUACUACUCUGAGACUAAUAAAUGUUGUAUGAUUAAUGAACCUGCUAGUGCAGAUUUAGAUAAUAAUACUUGAAGUACUUGCAAUGGUCACUUCUGGAGGGUGGAUUUAUGACUGAGUAUUUUAAAUGUUAUCUAACAGUCCCUAGAGUACAGAUUUAAGUUAAUUUUUUACAUACAUAUCAGUUUAUACUGAAGUUAAAUGUAAAUGGGCUAAAUGUCCCAGUCAAAAGAACAUAGACCGGCAAAUUCAAUAGAGUCAAGACCCAUCGGUGUGUUGUAUUCAGGAGACCCAUCUCACAUGCAAAGACACAUAUAGACUCAAAAUAAAGGGAUGGAGGAAGAUUUUUCCAAGCAAAUGGAGAGCAAAAAAAAAAAUAAAUAAAUAAAAUAAAAUAAAAAAAAAAUAAAUAAAUAAAAAGCAGGGGUUGGAACCCUAGUUUCUGAUAAAACAGACUUUAAACCAACAAAGAUCAAAAGAGACAAAGAAGGGCAUUACAUAAUGGUAAAGGGAUCAAUGAGACAAGAAGGGCUAAUGAUCCUAAAUAUAUACACACCCAAUACAGGAGCACUCACGUACAGAAAUCAAGUUCUUAAGGACCUACAAAGAGGCUUGGACUCCCACACAAUAAUAGUGGGAGACUUUAACACUCCACUGUCAAUAUUAGACACAUCAACAAGACAGAAAAUUAACAAGGAUAUCGAGGACUUGAACUCAGAUCUGGACCAAGCACACCUAAUAGAUAUCUACAGAAAUCUCCACCCUAAAUCCACAGAAAAUACAUUCUUCUCAGCACCACAUCACACCUACUCUAAAAUUGACCACAUACUUAGAAGUUAAUCACUCCUCUGCAAAUGCAAUAGAAUGGAAAUCAUAACAGUCUCUUAGAUUACAGUGUGAUCAAAUUAUAAUUCAGGAUUAAGAAACUCACUCAAAACCACACAACUACAACCUGCUCCUGAAUGACGACUGGAUAAAUAAUGAAAUGAAGGCAGAAAUGAAGUUUUACAGGCAAUGUAACAAUAGUUUUAGCUAUUGUGUGGAAAGUGGAUUGGAAGAGACCAGAGUAGAUUUAAGGAAUGCAGUUAGGAGACCUUUGCAAAUGCCCCAGUGAGAGAGGAUUAGGACUAAAGAGAGCAAUCACUGAGUGCUGACUGUGGAAGAGGCCAAAUGAGGGAGAAGAGCUGGAGAUUCCCCAGAACUUGGACUUCAUAACUGUGGUAGGACACACUGUCAUUUGCUGUGGGAUGAGUCUGCUUCCCAGUUAGACGGUGAGCUCCCUUAAAGCAGGGACUAGGCUCUCACCCCUGUGUCCUUGGAGCCCAGAGUUGUGCUUAGCAAAGUGUGUUAAACUCUGAGGAAAAGGAAAGAUAAGUGAUGGAAAAAGAAAUAAGGAAGAAGGAGAUGAGAUGAGAAGGGAUGGGGGCUCACCUGGUAAGGGAAGGGUCGAGCGAGGACCACCAGGGUUAGAGGAGGACUUUGGUUGUUUUCCAUCCCAGCUUCGUACUUUGCCAAACGUGAAGGCAAACACUCACCGUGCAAAGGGUGCAGAAGAUUCAGGUUAUGGGGGCCUGCUUUUAGGGGGUUACCUUGAAUCUCUUCACUCAAGCAGGGAGGGGUCUGUUCAGGCUGAAGAAACAGCUCAGGAGUCCAUGGCUGGCACUUGCCCUGUGCUCCCGCACUGAGACAUGCUGACUUCCAGCCAUGAGACAGAACCCAGAAGUUCCUCAACAGUCAAGUUAUGUCUGAUAAACCCAUUAUAAGUAAAAAAUAUCAGAAAUCAAAAGUGUAUUUCUGACUUACAGUAUUUUAAAUUUCUGACGAGUUUAACUGGACAUAGCCCAUUGUCGGUAUUGUUUUUGCACCAUUGUGUAAAGUUGAGAAACUGUAAGUCAAAUCCUUGUAAUGCAGGGAUUGUCAGCAGGUGGGUGACUGAAAAACAAUUUUGCCAUUCUUCACUAGCCUCCGGCAAGCCAUUUCCUGGCCCUUCCACUGUUAUUUAAAAAAUGAUGAUGAGGGCUUAGGGGAAGAAAACCAAGCCCUUGACACACUUUAUCACCACACCCCUGGCCUUCACCAUUAGAGGUUUCCUCACUUGCUCACCUGGUAACUAAGUUGUUCACAGCUUGUCUGGUAUGUUUCACAGGAUUUGUAACAAAGUCCACCCUGGCCAUCAUGAAGACCCAGAAGGGAGGCAGGCUUCCCAGGCAUGCUUUCUGGUCUGCAUGCUGACCAUGCAAUCUCUCAGGCUCUCCUAGGCAUUCUGCUUAAACAAACAUUAUUUACGUUCGGCAGGAGAACCAUUCCUGAUUGCCUGCUUUUUCCUCACUCACAUAAAACCUCACAUUUAAUUUCUGUUUACACACACAUAAACCAUAUUUUUAGGGGCAGCCUGGGAAAUCCUGAGUUGGAGAUGGAUUUUGCCUUUUGAAAACACAGAGGUGAGCGACAUCUGUAUAUUGUGUUAUCAGAGGCAUGACACGUGGUUGCUUGGGACCAGGUGUUUCACAGAAUCUGAGUGAAGUUGUAAAACUCGAGUUGACAAGUAAGGCGGUAGCCCUGUUGUUUUAGCAAAGGCUUGAUUACCAAUAUUACAAAGCCUUUCAUCUUUGGGGAGGCAACAAAACAGUUUAAAAUCUUGGGGUGCUAUGAAUGGGCUGAGAUUCGGCCAAAGAGGACAGUCUCUGACAAGCUCAUACACAUUUGAUUUGUAAAAGCAUCUCCAAGUGAACUGGGUGGGUGGGGAGCAGACAUUCAUUUGAGGUUAAACUUGGAGGAUUGUUGAAUUCAUUGGGCAUUCAAGUCUUUACUUCAAGGCCUUAAAUCAAUCAAUGCCAAUAUUGUCCCAAUUGGCAGUAUAUGGUGUGGGUAGAUAACCUUCUCUGAUUUAAUUCGCAUUCAGUGCAGACUGAGUCUGAAUCCUGAAGUCUUUGAGUUGGUUUACAGAACAAAAGGAGGAACAUGGAGAGAUAAGACCAAAGGGGAGUUGUGUCUUAUUUUGUUUCCUGAUAUAUCCUUCCCUGGGUUAAUUCACCGCACAGGUCAGUUUUCACUAGGUUUCUUCCCCAUGCUCCAUCCUUUUCUCUACGCCACCAUUUCCUGACCCUUUGUAGAUGGCUUUGACUUCUUUUGGGAACUCCGCUAACAGAUUAUUGAGAUCUAACUUGUCUCGUUUUUGCUGAAAACCAUUAAUAAAGGUGGACUAAAUUUCUUUGGGUUUAUUUGCAGGAUGAAGUGAGGGGAUAACUGCAUAUUAUUUAUGAGAAGCUCAACCACUUGCAAGUGAAAUAUCCUUAAUUUUAGCUUUUACUUGUAUAUUUGCUCAUGAAUAAAUAUCUCUCCAUGAUUUUUAGUUACUUGAAAGAAAUGGUAGUUAUAUGUACAUUUGGGUACUUUGAGUUGAGACUAGGCAGUACAUUGGAAUUAUAACACUUGUCCUGGGAAGUAGUAUUUCUGGAAUUUUGUCAGUUUUUUGGUGAGUGUUUGAGUUGGAUACAUCGACUGAUAGGUUUUCUUCCAAGACACAGAACUUGGUUCAUCGAUGUCUUUCUUGUUUAUGCUAUUGUGUAGUUUUUUUUUUUUUUUAAGAUAGGGUCUAACUCUGUCACUCAGGCUGGAGUACAGUAGCCUGGCCACAGCUCAGGGAAGCCUUGAGCUUCAGGGCUCUUAAGAAGCUGGGGACUACGGGUGUAAGCUACCACGCUAGGUAAUUAAAUUUUUUUUUUUGUAGAGACAUGGUUUUGCCAUGUCCAGGCUGGUCUCAGACUCUUCAAGGGAUCUUCCUGCCAUGGCCUUCCAAAAUGCUGAGAUUAUAAGUGUGAGCUACUGUGCCUGGCUAUUGUGUAGCAUUGAGCUUUGGAGGAGCAGUUGAUUUCCUUCUCAAUUAAAAAUGAAAACACUGGGGAGUCUUUCAAAGCUGACAAUGGGAAAUGAUGUAAAAUAGCAAAAAUUCUACGAGCUCUUCCCUUCAUCUCCCUGUUUCUUCCACAGUACCUUAGAUGAUGCUGACGAUAAUAACAAUUAACAUUGAAUAAGUGCUUCGAUGAUGUGUCAGAUAACCCCCCUUUUUUUUCCUUUUUCCUUUUCUGAGAUGGAGUCUUGCUCUGUUGCCCAGGCUGGAGUGUCGUGGCAUGAUCUUGGCUUACUGUAACCUCUGUCUCCUGGGUUCAAGCGAUUCAACAUGAAUUAACUAAUUGUUUUUGCACAGCCCUACCCGAUGAGGAAGCAUGAUGAGUGAGGAAAAUUCCACACCCAAGUCUGCAUCUCUCGGAAGAGAUACCCGUUUGUUUCACUUACUGAAGGCUGGCUGGAAAACGCAGCCCUAAUGUCAAGCCCUGGGGUGAAUGGCAUUUCAUGAGAGGAGGCUUAUCUGAGGGUAAGUGACUCUGGCCACCCUUGCUCCUAAACUGAGGCCACUAGUGGGGAAAGAGGC
This is a non-coding RNA of Callithrix jacchus (white-tufted-ear marmoset), 6407 nucleotides long. The record is from RefSeq and is a predicted model, not a curated record. NCBI's taxonomy places the organism in Eukaryota, Metazoa, Chordata, Mammalia, Primates, Cebidae.